This 890-nucleotide long non-coding RNA is filed under the name Marmota monax (woodchuck). The record is from RNAcentral. Lineage: Eukaryota; Metazoa; Chordata; Mammalia; Rodentia; Sciuridae.
AUUACAGGUGUGCACCACUGCAUCCGGUUUCCAAAUAAAUAAUUCUUUCUAUACAAAGGUUAGCACUCUAUAGCAUGCUUGUGGGGCAUUAAAAAAAUAAUUUGUUUAAAACAGAGCCUCCUAGGGUUAUCAAAGCUGGUCCUAGCAAAAUAUAUAAAGUCCCUAAAGCACCUUGUCCUUGAACUCUCCCACUUCUCUCAAUGGCUUUUUUCCAACUUCUCUUUCCUCUCCCUAAAGUCCUAUUCCUUCAAAGAUGGUAGCUGGAAUUAAAGUUGGUAGCAGAUUGGGCUUUAAGGUUUGAGCCUCCCAAGAGUCUAAAAAUCACUAAGGCACCCUAACUCCCUUUCCUCAUGACUUCUGCUCACAAACCUGGCUGAGCAGGAGUCAGGGUUCCAGGGAAGUUUUCCUGAUUUCUGGAGCUAUCUCCUAUUGGACUUUUGCCAACGGGUCUGAAACAUGUGGGUUAUUCUUACAAAUCUAAUUCUCUAGGAUUUUUUACAGGAUGUUUCUCUUUGAAUAAGCAAAUACAGAGUCAAAUUUCUAACAUUACUUUAUUGUCAAGAUAGAGACACUUGUCUAUAUGGUAAUUCACAUGUUAAAUAUAUCAAUGUAUAUAUAUUUAAGAACCAGGUGGAACUUUCAUUUUUAAGCUAGGUAUAUGAUGGGUUUUAUUAAAAUGUGCCUUAAAAGCCUAUUACUUCAAGAGUAAAUGAUUCUUUGGGGGAAAGGCAAAAAUAAUCUGUGACACAGGACCCAAAUUCAUGGUAGUAAGUGCACUCUUUGGUUAAUCACAUGCUAAUAUAGAUGACAUGUUAAUAUAGAUGACUGCCUCAAACCGUGUGUGACAAUGAUCUCUUAAUUAAAAAAAGAUGUAGGAAUUGUGUCUAAGU